This 452-nucleotide long non-coding RNA is filed under the name Arabidopsis lyrata. RNAcentral describes it as "long non-coding RNA (ALYR_LNC002209)". The record is from RNAcentral. Lineage: Eukaryota; Viridiplantae; Streptophyta; Magnoliopsida; Brassicales; Brassicaceae.
GUUCGGUUAUUGGACUAAUGCUAGCAUUCCCGUUGUUCCUCAUCUUCAGUCCGGUUAUUGUACCAGCAGCCUUUGUGAUCGGUCUAGCUAUGACCGGAUUCCUGGCGUCAGGGGCCAUAGGUCUCACCGGACUAUCAUCCAUGUCGUGGGUACUCAACUACAUCCGCUGGGCCGGAGAGCAUAUUCCGGAGGAGCUUGAGGAAGCGAAGCAGCGUUUGGCUGACAUGGCUGAGUAUGUGGGACAGAGGACUAAAGAUGCUGGACAAACCAUAGAAGACAAAGCUCACGAUGUCCGAGAGACCAAGACUUUUGAUGUCAGAGACCGAGACACCACCAAGGGUACUCAUAAUGUCCGAGACACCAAGACUCACGAGGUCCGAGUGGCAUCCACAUAAAGCGUGUGUUCUGAGUUAACCAUGGUGAAUAAAAAAGAUCGACUGCUAGUUCUUGAU